This 1315-nucleotide long non-coding RNA is filed under the name Sus scrofa (pig). RNAcentral's name for it is "lncRNA (ENSSSCG00070009979.1)". Lineage: Eukaryota; Metazoa; Chordata; Mammalia; Artiodactyla; Suidae. The record is from RNAcentral.
GGAUGCCCCUCUGUUUUCACAGAUGGGGAAACUGAGGCAAAGUCACUUGGCCAAGGUCUCCCAGCCAGUGAAGAACAAAGCUGGGAUUCAAAUCCAGGCCCACCUGACCACUGCUCUCAACUCUCCUGGUCUGGAGUAUAGACUGGGUUCAGGGAGGUGGGGGUGCCUUUCUAGAGGCACACGUGGACAACCAUGCCUGGCCCUUCACACGAGCAGGACAGCACUGCCCUGGCGAGGUCUACCCAACAAGGGAGGGAGGUCAAGGCCUGAAGCCAGAGCUCUCGCCCCGGGUACCAGGCCCAUCUGUUCUCAAGGUAGUCACCAAGGCCACUUCGCCAAAGUCACACAGCCAACAGGGCACCUCCCCUCAGCUGGGCAAUACCCAUAGUGCCAGACAAAUCAGUCCUGCCCUGCCCCGUGGCCUUUCCUGGCUGCCUGAGAGCCAUAUGUAGACCCCCGCAAGGAAGGAACUGCAGGUCGUGGCGGGGGGGUGGGGGGUCCACUGACUCGCACCGGCCACCUCUCAAGGCAAAACUCUACCGCUCCUCGGAGCUCCAGCAAGAGCAGCUACUCACACUGCACCCUCAGGCCUUUCCUAAACUCCACCCGCUCCCAGAGAACCGUUCCAUUCUUCCAGGUAUGUCAUACGUACCGCUUCCUCCAGGAAGUCUUCCCUGACCCACUUCCUCCAAGACCGCACACAGGCCCCUACCUUGUGCCCCAGGCAGCGACUCUUGAUCCCUAUCUUGAACCCCAGCCUCUGUGGGCUGCCUCCACUUGGCAACAGUAACUGAGCAGCCUGGCCGGGUCCUUCUCUCUGUCCUUCCUUCACAUCUUCAGCGGGAGGCCUCGCUGAGAAGGCCGGCCCUGCUCCAGCAGCCCCUGGCCAAAGCCUCGCCUGAUCAACCCAGUCACCCUCCAACUACCUUGUACUUGGCCGGCUGCUCCCCAGCUCCCCAGGCUAUGCUGACACCCACUGGGCUAUUUCCCACCUCCAAACCUUUGCUCAUGUUGUCUCUUCUUCCUGGCAGGCCCUCACCCUUCUUUUUCCCUCAUGAGCUCCUGCCCACCCUUUAAGCCUCAGGCCAGGUAUCACCUCCUCUGUGAAGCCCUGCUGGCUUCAUAAUAGCUGCCCCAGUUCACAUGGCACCUACCCCACGGUAGGGCAAUGAUCAGCAUCUGUAUCUGGCUCCCUCCAGGGUGCAGGCUCCCAGAGUACAGGUUUGGGGUCCCCAGUGCCCAGCACAAAGCCCAGACCUCACCAGCAGAUAAUUGAAAAUGCAGGAGUUCCCAGCGUGGCUCAGCGGUAAUGAAC